AUUUUGGACAAUGGGGGAAACCCUGAACCAGCCAUCCCGCGUGCGUGAUGAAGGCCUUCGGGUUGUAAAGCACUUUUGGCAGGUAAGAAACGGUAUCGGUUAAUCCCGGGUGUCACUGCCGGUACCUUCAGCACAAGCACCGGCUAACUACCUUCCAGCAGCCGCGGUAAUACGUAGGGUGCAAGCGUUAAUCGGAAUUACUGGGCGUAAAGCGUGCGCAGGCGGUUUGGAAAGAAAGAUGUGAAAUCCCAGAGCUUAACUUUGGAACUGCAUUUUUAACUGCCAAGCUAGAGUAUGUCAGAGGGGGGUAGAAUUCCACGUGUAGCAGUGAAAUGCGUAGAGAUGUGGAGGAAUACCGAUGGCGAAGGCAGCCCCCUGGGAUAAUACUGACGCUCAUGCACGAAAGCGUGGGGAGCAAACAGG
Molecule: ribosomal RNA, 423 nt
Filed under: uncultured bacterium
Lineage: Bacteria
Description: partial 16S ribosomal RNA
Rfam family: Bacterial small subunit ribosomal RNA
Source: RNAcentral